RNAcentral lists this ribosomal RNA (807 nucleotides) under uncultured fungus. RNAcentral describes it as "SSU rRNA". It matches the Rfam family "Eukaryotic small subunit ribosomal RNA", at positions 3 to 842 of the family's 1831-position model. Lineage: Eukaryota; Fungi. The record is from RNAcentral.
CCUGGUUGAUUCUGCCAGUAGUCAUAUGCUUGUCUCAAAGAUUAAGCCAUGCAUGUCUAAGUAUAAACACGUUAUACUGUGAAACUGCGAAUGGCUCAUUAAAUCAGUUAUAGUUUAUUUGAUGGUUUUUGCUACAUGGAUAACUGUGGUAAUUCUAGAGCUAAUACAUGCGUACAAGCCCCGACUUCUGGAAGGGGUGUAUUUAUUAGAUAAAAAUCAACACUGUUGGUGAAUCAUGAUAACUUCUCGGAUCGCAUGGCCUCGUGCUGGCGAUACUUCAUUCAAAUAUCUGCCCUAUCAACUGUCGAUGGUAGGAUAGAGGCCUACCAUGGUUGCAACGGGUAACGGGGAAUAAGGGUUCGAUUCCGGAGAGGGAGCCUGAGAAACGGCUACCACAUCCAAGGAAGGCAGCAGGCGCGCAAAUUACCCAAUCCCGACACGGGGAGGUAGUGACAAUAUGUAACAAUAUACGGCUUUAUCGUCGUAUAAUUGGAAUGAGUACAAUUUAAAUCCCUUAACGAGGAACAAUUGGAGGGCAAGUCUGGUGCCAGCAGCCGCGGUAAUUCCAGCUCCAAUAGCGUAUAUUAAAGUUGUUGCAGUUAAAAAGCUCGUAGUUGGACCUUGGGCCUGGACGGGCGGUCCGCCUCACGGCGUGUACUGUCUUGCCGGGCCUUUCCUCUUGGUGAUCUGUUGUUUCGGCAGCAGGGAACCAGGACCUUUACUUUGAAAAAAUUAGAGUGUUCAAAGCAGGCUCGACGCCGGAAUAUAUUAGCAUGGAAAUAAUAAAUAGGACGUGCGGUUCUAUUU